ACGACAUUUUAAAGCAGCUGCCACAGAUUUCAUACCUUCAUUUCCAUUCAUUUCCAUGAAAAUUAGUUUAGCAAUGAAACACUGAAAACUUCAAACAUAAAGUGUCAAGAAGAUAUCAGCAGAUCAGAUCAUCACACUCUGUUUUCUGUCUCUCCCUACCAGCAGAAUGAGUGGAAGCUUCCUCUCCAAAGAGCCUCAGGCAUACCUGCCUCACCCAGAGUCAGACCAGGCUGAGCACAUAGCCGGAUACACGUAGAGUGGAGCUAAGGGGAUGGAUGAUCUUGGUCUUGAGAAUGUGAGGUCUGUUUACCAGCAGGAAACCAAAGUCUAUUCAACAGUUCAAAAAUGACUGAUCCAUAGGACUCAGACUGAUAGCUGCUGUAAAUGCAAUGCAAAUGUUUGUGUUUUGAAUGGAAAUCUUUUCAUUCAUGCCACCACUGAAAGAUGCUUCACAGCAGGUGAAGUGACCCCAAAGGUGUACCCACUGUGUUUAAAUGUGACUUAACCAAACCUCAGUACAUCCUAAGGUGAGAAUGUGCUGUAUUGGCAGGUGUGAUCGUUUGCCUAAGAUAAAACUAUAAGCCCAUAAGCUUCAUCUUUACUUCAGACAACUUCCAAUCUCUAAAUCUCCUCCCUCAGUCUCAUUACAGUGUCAACACUCAGGCUGCUCGUCUUUGCCUAAUCAUCCAUCCAUCCUAAACCCAGUCAUUAGCAUGUAUGAAUGAUAAAAAGGCUAUCAGGAAGAACGACCAUGUGCCAUAAUCCCCCUCAGCAUUCUUGCUCUGUAACACUAGGAAUCUGGUUGACAUUUCUGCUGCUCAUUGAUCCAUCUUGGCACAUUUGGGUUCUGACAUGUCUGUGAUCAGAGGAACAGUUUUCCUGGUUUAACAGUGACAACAGCAAAGAUUUUCUACUUUUAUUAUGUCCUUUUGUCCAUUCACUACACGUCACAUGGUGGUAAAGAUGAACUGAUGCCUCACAACAAGAAGAUUCCUGGUUUGAAUCCCGACUGUGUGUGGAGUUUGGAUGUUCUCCCUAUGCCUCCACGGGUUUCCUCUUGGUACCCCUGCUUCUUCCCACAGUCCAAAGACAUUUAUGUUUGGUUAAUUGGUGAUUCUAAAUUAGCCAUUAAUGUGAGGUAGAUAAAGUGCUUUAUGAGUGUAUGGUUAAAAUGUGACUUGUAGUCUAAAGCACUUUGAGUAGUCAGUAAGACUAGAAAAGUGCUAUGUAAAUGCAAGUACAUUACAUUACAUUAUCUGCUAUGCUGAUCAAUACAUUUAUCUAUUAUAUCUUUCACCUGCCUGUAACUUGGAUAUUGCUUUUUAUCUACUUACCUCCGGUACUACCUGAUAUUUAUUGUCUUUUUAUUGAUUAUACACUAUUUUGUCUGUUUGUAAUUUAGUUUAAAGUUUACCAGGAAACUCUUACAGCUGAGUCUUCCCAUUUCUGUUUGAGGAUUAAACAAAAAUGCUUUCAUUAGUGAGCUUUAGAUGAGCUUAAGGGUGGAUUUUGGAAGUUUGGUCAGCGCUGGUUGGCUCAGACUUAAUCCUAAACUAAGCUAAUCAUCCCCUUGAUCUAACUCCAAAAUUAACAUACAGACUUCAAAAUCAAAUUUAACUUCUUAUAUAACUGCAAGAAAAACAAACACCACUGAGCACACAUUUCUUAAAAUGUUGAAAUGUUCCUUUAACUGAAAAUUGGGUAACAAUGACAAGGAAUCUGACAGUGUCAACAACCCGCGUGUGGAUCAUUUUUUCUUCCUGCUCUGUCACUCAGAGCUAAUUACAAAUACAACACAGAUCCAGCUAUACCUGCUAUUUACAGUACAAUGUAAAACAUACACAUUCACAGGGGCAGUAUUAACAUCACUGCAGUGUUGUCUUACAAUAACAGUGACCUUUCCCCUUACAGUGGGUUGUUUUUCUAAAGUUUGUGGUCAAUUUAAAGGCCCCAUUUCCUCCAUUUCCUUCAUAAUAUCAUGGCAAAGAAUAGGGGUCAACACCUCCACUGUUUUUCUGCAAUACCUGCUUAGCUGAACUUUGACACAAAUGCCACACAAUGCAGAUGCAGAUUCCCACACUGAUACAUAAACACAGAGACUUUUUCCCUAUACUAAAACUUCAUAUAGUCAGGAGGAGCAGUGGCAAAAUCCAGGAGCUCUUCUCCUUUCCUUCUGAUUUACAGAAGCCAAUAUGUUCAAGUUUCCUUGUUUUCUCCACCGGGACGUCUAGCCCUGACAGUAAAUCUCUCUCACCAAUACUCCUCCAUAUGGCUGCAUGAAAAUUUCAUUGUGGAGAGUCUGAGGCUAAAGGGCCUCACUGGUGGAGAACAAGUGUGUGUGAGAAAGAGAGAGGGGUUUCUGAGAUGUGGUGAUUUGGUCCUGGGUGGCAUUUGUACUGGUGGGAGUUUGUUGUCAUGUGGGUGCUGUCAGUACGUCUGAGUACUGUGAUUGUGUUUACACCUGAACACAAGGUUUAUAAUUUAUUGCAGUGCCAUUUGUUGCCUUAAGGAACAUUCGGUUUGCAAGAUUUACUCUGAAUUCUGCCCAUCAAACAUAAAGUGAUUUUUAGGGGAUCACACAUCAUUUUUUAUAUUACACACUACA
Molecule: long non-coding RNA, 2605 nt
Organism: Oreochromis aureus
Lineage: Eukaryota; Metazoa; Chordata; Actinopteri; Cichliformes; Cichlidae
Exons: 3
Source: RefSeq, a predicted model, not a curated record